UACGUAGGGUGCGAGCGUUGUCCGGAAUUACUGGGCGUAAAGAGCUCGUAGGCGGUUUGUCGCGUCUGCUGUGAAAUCUGGGGGCUCAACCCCCAGCCUGCAGUGGGUACGGGCAGACUAGAGUGCGGUAGGGGAGAUUGGAAUUCCUGGUGUAGCGGUGGAAUGCGCAGAUAUCAGGAGGAACACCGAUGGCGAAGGCAGAUCUCUGGGCCGUAACUGACGCUGAGGAGCGAAAGCACGGGGAGCGAACAGG
This 253-nucleotide ribosomal RNA is filed under the name uncultured bacterium. RNAcentral describes it as "partial 16S ribosomal RNA". It matches the Rfam family "Bacterial small subunit ribosomal RNA", at positions 524 to 776 of the family's 1533-position model. The record is from RNAcentral.